Malus domestica (apple) is the source of this 494-nucleotide non-coding RNA. The record is from RefSeq and is a predicted model, not a curated record. Lineage: Eukaryota; Viridiplantae; Streptophyta; Magnoliopsida; Rosales; Rosaceae.
ACGAACUCCUGUCCUUGCUGCAGCUAAUCCAGCACGGGGGAGAAAUAACCUGCGUAGAACUCCUGCUGAAAACAUUAAUCUUCAACUGGCCCUUUUGUCGAGAUUUGAUCCUUGAUGGUUAAUCCUGGAUCGAGCAGAUAGGGAUAGUGAUGUUGAGAUGGCUAGGCAUGUUGUCUAUUUUCACCAGAAUAAAGUAUCACCGGCUCUUGGUUUCAGUCCACUUGAGCCAUCAGUUAUUCGGUAAAUUUUGCAGCACUUUUACCUUGGAAGGCUCAGCAGUACUGAUUUCAGGAAGGGAUACAGUGAAGCCCAACUGAAACAAUGUUUGGAGGAAUACGCAAACAUAAAUGUGUGGCAGAUUAAUCCCCCUUCUUUUGACAUCCGGUUUAUUGAUGCCAUUUGAAAGAUGAGCGAGUGAGAAGCUACUCAACUCGGCUUCUGUUAAAGGUAGUUGGAGCUUUUCUUAGGAGUGUGGCAUGGGUUACUUCAUCAAC